AAUUCGCCUUCAUGAAGCCGGAAUUGCUAGUAAUGGCAGGUCAGCAUACUGCCGUGAAUACGUUCCCGGGCCUUGUACACACCGCCCGUCACACCAUGAGAGUUGGGGAUACCCGAAGCCUGUGAGCCAACUUUAAUAGAGGCAGCAGUCGAAGGUAGAAUCAAUGAUUGGGGUGAAGUCGUAACAAGGUAUC
This 193-nucleotide ribosomal RNA is filed under the name uncultured bacterium. RNAcentral describes it as "partial 16S ribosomal RNA". It matches the Rfam family "Bacterial small subunit ribosomal RNA", at positions 1309 to 1500 of the family's 1533-position model. The record is from RNAcentral.